RNAcentral lists this long non-coding RNA (7891 nucleotides) under Sus scrofa (pig). Its description in RNAcentral is "lncRNA (ENSSSCG00000055883.1)". Lineage: Eukaryota; Metazoa; Chordata; Mammalia; Artiodactyla; Suidae. The record is from RNAcentral.
GGCUAGGGGUUGAAUCGGAGCUAUAGCCACAGGCCUACGCCAGAGCCACAGCAACGCGGGAUCCAAGCCGCGUCUGCAACCUACACCACAGCUCACGGCAAUGCCGGAUCAUUAACCCACUGAGCAAGGGCAGGGACCGAACCCGCAACCUCAUGGUUCCUAGUCGGAUUCGUUAACCACUGCGCCACGACGGGAACUCCAAAACCCACAGAAAUCAACAAGAAAGAGAUUCAUUGGACAGAAAUAUGGGUAAAAGAUGUAAACAGUGUGUCUUAGUCUGCUUGGGCUGCCGUAACAAAAUACCACAGACUUGGUGGAAAUUUAUUUCUCACAGUUCAGGAGGCUAGGAAACCUGAGACCAAGGUGCCAGCACAGGAUGUUUAAUUCUGAGGCCUCUUCCCUUGGCCCCUAGGUGGUCACCAUCUCACUGUGUACUCAGAUGUUCUCUUCUUUGUUUAAGCAUGGGGAGAGAAAGAACUUUCUGGUGUCUCAUCUUAUAAGGAUGCUAGUUUGAUCAGAUCAGGGCCGCACCGUUAUGACCUCCUUUAACCUUAAUUACUUCCUUAGAGGUCUCAUUUCAAGUUCAGCCACUCUGGAGGUUAGUGCUCCAACAUAUGAGUUUUGGGGGCGGGGACAUAAACAUUCAGUCUGUAACACAGAGCAGUCACACAAAGAGUAAUACAAGUAAUUAGCAUGUAUUAUUAAUUUUUUAAUAAAAACAAUAAUUGAUAACAAUAAUUUGAAGAUUACCAUAUUCCAAGCAUUGUUCUAAGCACUUGACAUCUCUUACUCAUGAAGUUCUUAUAGGAAGUCUAUGGCAAGCUAGUUUCCCCUGCUAUCCUGACAGAAGAGGAGCCUGAUGCAUAGAGAAGUUAGGCAACUUGGCCAAGAUCAUACAGCUAGGAAAAGGCAGCUCCAGAAUUCAAACUCAGGAUCUGGCUCCUGAGUCUGUGUUCUUAAAAACUCUCUGAGAUGCUCAGACUUAUCCAUAGGUAGAAGCUAGAAUAAUACACCGAUUUUUAGGCACUGGAUUGAUGAAAAUGAAAAGGCUAGAUAUAUCUAGUGCUGGCAAGAGUCUGGGGAAAGUGGCACUUUUAUACACCUUCGGUAGCAGUGGAAACUUUUGAAGGGCGAUUUGACAAUAUCGAUUGAAAUUAAGUAUGUGUGCUUUCAUACUUUGAGCCAACAAUUCCACUUCUGGAAAUUCACUUACUUGCAAAACUAUGCCAAGAUAUCAGAGUAUGAGUGUUCACUGCAGUAUCAUUUGAGUUAGUCAUAAACCCAAAGUCAAUGUGAAUGUCAAUCAGAAGGGCAAAAUGGAAAGAGAUGGCGAUAAGCUGGUGACGUGGAUCAGUUAGCACUGAUACAGGAAUAUCACAGGCAUAAACUGAUAUGUUAUAUUAGGUUGUUAGGGCCCCAUAAUAAAAUGCCACAGAGUAGGUGACUUAAACAACAGGCAUAUAUUAUCUCACAGUUCAGAGACUGGAAGCCCAAGGUCAAGGUGUUGGAAGAGUUGGUUUCCUCCGAGGCCUCCUUGGCUUGCUGAAGGCCACCCUCCUGCUGCCCUUCACGUGGCUAUUCCAUGUGUGCCCUGGUGUCUCUUUGUGGGUCUUAAUUUCCUCGUCUUAUAAGGACAUCAGGCUAUAGUAGAGCCCAUCCUAAGGGCCUCAUUUUACCUUAAUUACCUCUUUAAAGGCCCCUUCUCAAAAUACAGUCACAUUCUGGGGUACUGGAAGUUGGGGCUUCAGCAUAGGAAUUUGGAGGGAGCAUGAUUCAUCCCACAACCUGGAUGAAAAAGAAAGAUGGAUAGAGGCUGGUAUCUGCUUUGAAAAUCUGUCUGUAAAGCCCUUCAGAGAACUCUUACACUCACUUUGGGGCAAAACACUGGAUGAGCCUGAAGUGUGGCUGAGGGUAAACUCCUAUUUUACUUUUACACCUUUCUGUAUUUAAUAUUCUAAUCAUGUGGAAGCAUUGCUUCUUACUUUAUUCAAAUGUUAGCAAGAGCUACCUAGAUAGUAGGAUUAUGCAUCAUUUUAACUUUUUCCUUUAAUUUUUCUGAUGAAAAUCUUCAUAAAUGUAGUUAAAAGUAUUCUAAAAAAAAGGAACAACAAAAAAUUGAGGGGAAAUGGACCACAUAUAUGUGGAGAGAUUUGAUGUUUACAGUUAACUUUCUUUGGUCAUUUUCAGUGUGUUGUGGUGUAUUGUUGGUCUUUGAAAAAAUCUUCCGUGAAGUUUCAUAACCUAUGGUCCUAUCCCACUUUUUUUUGUUAUUUUGAUUUACAAAAUUUUCUUGAAAGCUAAACUAUUUUAGGGAAGUGUUGUGCCUUCUCUUCACUGGAAAAGGGGUUACUAUCAACUUAACUUCUGGCAAUCUACAUUCUAUUGAUCUACUUUAUGGGUUUAAACAUAUCAAGUUAUUAAUCACGCCCCCCCCUUUGUUACCAGCAGAUUCCUAACUUACCUCAGAUUGCCAGUGUGUUCAUUAAAUGUCAAAGAAUGUUGACAUUUAUUCAAAAGAUAUGUGAUUAGCAGGGAAAUCUACCACAAACGGGAAGCUACACACAUUUCUUCAAAGUGAAAAUCGCAAUCAUUUUUUCAUCAUUUGCUGUUGGGCAUUGACUUGAAUCUCUUUCUCUCAAAGGGCAAAGAGACCAUUGCAUUGGAAUAGUUUCAAUUUUGCCACACAGGGAAGGGAGAAGGGGAGGAAAAGACAUCUAUUGAGAGCCGAAUCUGCACUAAAUGCUUGAAAGGUAUUCUCUCAUUUCACCUUCACAGCCAACCUAUGAAGUGAGUGUUUUUAUUUCCACUUAGAGAUGAGGGAACAGAGUCAGAGAGGUUAAGGGACAAUUUCAAAGUCUAGCAGUCGGGGUAUGGGUGGAAUUCAGGAUGCAUCAUCUGGUCUUUGGACUUGGAGGCACAUGCUUGCCUCAGCCUUUGCCAAAUAUGGGCAGUUCACAAACAUGGGCUCUGCAGGGCUCUUGGGCUACCAGGCUUUGGGACCUGGUAAGAUGGAACAGGACAGCAGGUCCAAGGCCUGGUGGGUCUUCCUUGGAAAUAGGACAAGGAAGAAUUCCCACCCAGUCCAAGGGAGAUGCUAGUUAGAACCUCAAGUGGUACAGCUGAAGGGCUUCCCACUAGUCCCUUCCUUUUACAAAAGGGGGAAAUGAGGCCCAGUAAGCUUAAGUGGAAUUUAAGCUUAUUUCUUAUAUCCCCAACUUCUUCUUUAUUUCUUUUUGUAGAUUUAUAGAACAAGCUCUGCAAUGCAGGGGAAUGGUUUGCCAGUGGAUUCUUUGUGGGCUGUGUGGCCUCAAUUUUUUUUUAAAUCAAUUGAUUGCCUAGAUCUACUUUAAUAUCAUCCUAUGCUUUUCUUUCAAGAUUUCAUUAAGAAAUGAAACUUUUAAAAUCCUAAUUUAUUUUAUUAUAUAUAUUCUCAUGGUGAAAAAUUAAAAAUAUAUAGAUAACUUUAGAAGAUUAAGCAAUGUAAUUUCUUACUCCACAAAUAAAAAUUUGGGGUAUAACCUUCCAGGUGGGGUGAAUAAACACCAUUCCUGGAGCCUGACGCAAAAGGAAAAAUCAAUAAUACUGAUCUUGUCUUUGUUUAAAAUUUGGACAUUUUUUUCAUCAUGGAUUUUUUUUGCAUUACUUUGUUUUUUUUUUUUGUUUUUUGUUUUUUGUUUUUGUUUGUCUUUUGUCCUUUUUCAGGGCCACACCCGCGGCGUAUGGAGGUUCCCAGACUAGGGGUCUAAUUGGAGCCGUAGCCACCGGCCUACACAACAGUUCAUGGCAACGCUGGAUCUGUAACCCACUGAGCGAGGCCAGGGAUUGAACCUGCAACCUCAUGGCUCCUAGUCGGAUUCGUUUCUGCUGUGCCAUGAUGGGAACUCCACGUUACUUUGAUUUUUUAAACAUUACAUUGAAAUAUUAUCUUGAUUCCUGACCUUUUUGGCAACCCUUAAACUUUGUAGCUGAGGUGAAUUCUGGUGUGCCCCUACCUCGUUCAUUUCACCUUAGUCCUGGCCCUAGAAUAUAUAGAUUAUUAUUAAAAAGUGCUUUUUUUUUUUUUUUGGCUUGUUUUAUAAAAUUAAAAAAAAAUCAUGCUAUAAUAAGAGUUUACACAUCUAUAGCACUUACUAUGUAAUUCUGUAGAAUCUUUGUGUUUUCCAUGUGCUAAUCCUCCUAAUAGCCCAGUGGGGUGGAUACCAUUUGUAUCAUUUCCAUUUUGCAGAAGGAAAACCUGAGAUAUCUAGAGUUAAAGUGCUCAAGGCCACAGAGCCUGCAAGUGGUUGAGCUGUUGGGCUCCUAGGGUGUGUGCUCCAAACUACCACAAACGUUUGUGUCUCUCUGUACACACUGUCCUGUCACUUCCACUUUUUUCUUACUCUGCCAUAGGCAUCUUUCAAUUUCACUAUGGAAGACUCUGCUACCCAUCUUUGUUUUCUCAAUAUAAAUGGAAAUCUCAAGGAAAAACAAACAGAAACCCUCUCUCAACAGCACUUUGACAACCUCGCCCCUUUGGCCAGUGGCACUCCCCCUAGUCCUGCCCUUUGACUAUCAAGACCGUUUCUCUCAAAUGGACUUUUGACCAUGGUGGCUGUGGAUUCUCCUCUUUUGUGCCAGCGCUCUUAUUCUGAAGAUAAUUUACUGGUGCCAGCAAUCUGGCUGUUGUGUAUGCAGAGCAAGCCACCUCUUCAUGAGCUCAGGGGAAACAUUUGGAGCACAGAUUGCAAAGCACCUGAAUUUGAAAUGUUUAUUUCUUGGCUGGCUUUUAUUUUCUCCCAACUAUCAAAAGAACUCUGGCUGAAGUUGACGCAUUAAUCACUUGUCUAAUUUCAUUUCUUAAAACCUAGUUAUUUUUAAAUGAUAAGUAACAUGAUUUACUGCCCUUUUUGAUUUAGAAACCUGUUCAAAAUGCAGAGUGGUGUCUGCCUCUUUGUUAGCAUAGUCUUGAGAUGCUUUUUCAUUUGCUUUUUUGUGAUAAUUAAAUGCUUAUGGUUCUUUCAUCUAAAAUACAUGUUCAUUAUUGAUAUAUUUCAUGCACUCUGGACUGUUUAAUUUAGAUAUUGGUUAUUUCUAGUAAAAUGCAAUAUGGUUGGUGUCCCUAGAUAAGUAGGCUAAGAGGAAUACCCUGACCUGUUCUGAUUAUUUUGCAAUAUGUUCCCUUUCCAUUUCUAAGUAGUUAGUCAGUCCUGUGAAUCAGGUCACCAGCUUACUUCCUAGAUGGCUCAGUUCCAUGGUCAAAGUUUGCACUCUGACUUUGUGAUGUAGAACACUGAUCACAAAGUGUGUGUGUGUGUGUGUGUGUGUGUCUCCCUCAAAAUCUUUCAUCACUUGUUAUGGUCUAAGUGGGUGUCAGGCCAGGCAAUGUCAGGUCCCUUUAAACCAGGGGGUAAGAACAGAGCCUGACUGAUUCAUGUGGAUCAUCAUGGGAGGGUGAUUGGGAUGGAGGUGGUGGGUAAGUUGGUGGAGUUAUGGGCUGGAUCCUGUCCCCCUCUCUUCAAUUCACAUGUUGGAAGUUAUAAUCCACAGUGCCUCAGAAUGUGACUAUAUUUGGGGAUAGUGUCUUUAAAAAAGUAAUUAAAUUAAAAUGAGGAGACUCUGACUAGGGUCCUUAUAAGAAGAGAUGAGGACACAGACACACCCAGAAGGAAGACUGUGAAGACACAGGGAGAAGCUGGUUUAUCUGCAAGCCAAGGGGAAGGGCCUCAGAAGAAACCAACUCUGUCAACAUCUUGACCUCAGAUUUCUAGCCUCCAGAAUUAGGAGAAAAUAAAUUUCUGUUGUUUAAGCCACCCAGUCUGUGGUACUCUGUUAUGGCAACCCUAGGAAUCUAAUUCAGGUGGAAAGUGGGUAAAACAGGGUGGAUGAUUGGAAUGAAUUACAUACAUUUUUGGUAAGCUGGUCAAGCAAAAGAUCUCAUGAAUUUUACUGUCCCUGUAAUUUGCCUACCUGUAAAUAGAUUUCCUGUUCCUGAAUUGUUGUGAUUCCUCAUGUUAUAAUGAAGUAGCUUUUGUAGCCUAAAUGGAUACGUGUACUGAGUGGUUGGAAAAUCCAGUGAAUCAGCUCUGAGGAAUGGGCUGUGGAGGAGCAGAGCUCUCCUUCUAAGGCCGCUGCUGGGAGAGAGGGCACCACUCCCCUUUGAGUGGAUGGGGACAAGAACUGUUGCUAUCACAUAACAAGCUUGUGGGCUCAGCUAUAUACAUAUGGUCUUUCAUUUUUGCUACAAACUUGUAUUAUAUAUCUUUAUUUUGUAGAUGAGAAAACUGAGGGCAUGGCAAUGAUAAGAAUUUGUGACUUAGCUCUGCCUGUAUUCAGAUUCCAUGUUGGUUUUUUUUUUAUUAUACCAUGAUACCUCUAAGUUUUGUUUUGUUUUGUUUUUUUAAUGUUAUUGCUUUGGUCCUAUUGACAGUAAUUUUAUGUGCCAGCUUGGCUAGGAUAUAGUACCUAGUUGUUGAGUCAAAUGCUAGUCUUAUAGUUCCUGUGAAGGUAUUUGUUAGAUGUGAUUAACAUUUACAAGCAUUAGACUUUGAGUAACAGAGGUUAAUUACCCUCUAUUUACUGGAUGAGCCCUGUGCAUCUGUUGAAGGCCUUAGAGCAAAACUGAGGUUUCCCUGGGAAGGAUAAAGACUGCAGCAUGGUAACCUGCUUGAGUUUCCAGCCUGCUCACUUGCUUUGUGGGUUUUACACUCAAGGCUGCAACAUCAACUCUGACCUGAAUUGCCACCUUGCCUGCCUGCCCUGCAGAUUUCAAACUUACCACCCUCACAAUUGUGUGAGCCAAUUUUAAAAAUCUUUCUCUUGCUAUCCUAUUGGUUUUCUUUCUUGAGAGAACCCUGACUAAGACAGUCUUUAAUUAAAUGAGUCUUCAGCUUGGAAGGUAGGAAAUUUCACUAUUGCGUUAGAAUAAUUUACCUGCUGUAACAAACAAUUCCCAAAUCUCGGUGGGUUGGACACAGUUAAAAUCUUAUUUCCCACCUAUCUUGACCCAACCGGAUAUUGGCAGGUUGGCCUUCUCCAUAGUGAGAACCAAGAGAACCAGGCUUCUACCCAGUGGUUCUGCCACCUUUCAGGGGUUCUGUGGUUCCCCCCUGGUCUCUGCAUCUGGCCAGGAGAGGAGGCAGUGAGUAUGGAGGCUCUCUGGAGGGGUGUUAGAGGCCAGACUUGCAGGUAUCACAUGCUUUCUCCCCUAGUCCACUGCCCAGAGCUCCACCCCAUGGCUGCUCCUGGCUGCAAGGAUGCUGGGGCAUGAGUCUUCCUGGGAGAGCUCAGAAAGGAGAGGAGACUCACAUGCAUUGGAAAGCACUGGGCUUUCUCUGUCACACCUGACAACUGCCAGCAUGGCUGCAGAUGUGAUAAGAGAAACAGUAGGGAAAAAAAUCCACAGAAUAAAUGGAUGUUAUUUUUGAAAGGGGAUGCAGAAUAUUUCUAUAUGUCUAUUAUAUUUUUAAAGUCAUUUUGUGCAUUUACAAUUUUAAUGUAUAGUUACGUAAUUCUGAUCAAAAUAGCUGUAGAAUUGUUGCUCUGGAAAUGACCAAAACUUUCCCCCAGAAUUCAUUUGGAAGUUAAUGGAGUAUACAUCCAAAGACAGCUUUGAGCAAGAAGACCAGUUAAGGUGGAAAGCUAUUUCCACCAGGCAUUAGACAAGGAUAUAAAGUAACUCAUUGUGAGUUCCCUUCCUGGUUCAGCAUUAAGGAACCCAGCUAAUAUUCAUGAGGACACAGGUGCAAUCCCUGACCUCCCUCAGUGGGUUAAGGAUCGGGCUUUCUGUGAGCCGAGGUGUAGGUCACAGAUGCUGCUCAGAUUAUGCAUUGUUGUGGUUGUGGUAUAGGCCAGCAGUUGCAGCUCCAAUUCGACCCCUGUCCUGGGAACUUACAUACGUUAUGGGUGCAGCCCU